AGUGAGCUUGGUUCGAUUUUCUCAGGUCUUGAAGUUCAUUUUGCGUCUUCGUAGAUCCAAGUUGAAAUAUCUGACCAGUGUUUUUCAGAACCAGAAACGUCUUCCUCGAAAGGUUCAAACCAUCUCGGUACAUCAGACUCACGCACUGAAUUUAAACAUCUAAGACUUAGGAGCUAAACUCAUCUUGUUCUGUCCUCUGUCCUCUGGCUU
Molecule: long non-coding RNA, 210 nt
Filed under: Brassica napus (rape)
Lineage: Eukaryota; Viridiplantae; Streptophyta; Magnoliopsida; Brassicales; Brassicaceae
Description: long non-coding RNA (BNAP_LNC005026)
Source: RNAcentral